Molecule: ribosomal RNA, 305 nt
Filed under: uncultured bacterium
Lineage: Bacteria
Description: bacterial SSU rRNA
Rfam family: Bacterial small subunit ribosomal RNA
Source: RNAcentral
UCCUACGGGAGGCAGCAGUGGGGAAUAUUGCACAAUGGGGGGAACCCUGAUGCAGCGACGCCGCGUGGGUGAAGGAGUAUUUCGGUAUGUAAAGCCCUAUCAGCAGGGAAGAACAAUGACGGUACCUGACUAAGAAGCACCGGCUAAAUACGUGCCAGCAGCCGCGGUAAUACGUAUGGUGCAAGCGUUAUCCGGAAUUACUGGGUGUAAAGGGAGCGUAGACGGUUAAGUAAGUCUGGAGUGAAAGGCCGGGGCCCAACCCCGGGACUGCUCUGGAACCUAUUGAACUUGAGUGCAGGAGAGGG